UGGGGAAUAUUGCACAAUGGGCGCAAGCCUGAUGCAGCCAUGCCGCGUGUAUGAAGAAGGCCUUCGGGUUGUAAAGUACUUUCAGCGGGGAGGAAGGGAGUAAAGUUAAUACCUUUGCUCAUUGACGUUACCCGCAGAAGAAGCACCGGCUAACUCCGUGCCAGCAGCCGCGGUAAUACGGAGGGUGCAAGCGUUAAUCGGAAUUACUGGGCGUAAAGCGCACGCAGGCGGUUUGUUAAGUCAGAUGUGAAAUCCCCGGGCUCAACCUGGGAACUGCAUCUGAUACUGGCAAGCUUGAGUCUCGUAGAGGGGGGUAGAAUUCCAGGUGUAGCGGUGAAAUGCGUAGAGAUCUGGAGGAAUACCGGUGGCGAAGGCGGCCACCUGGACGAAGACUGACGCUCAGGUGCGAAAGAGUGGGGAGCAAACAGG
RNAcentral lists this ribosomal RNA (429 nucleotides) under Chloroflexota bacterium. RNAcentral describes it as "Chloroflexi bacterium partial 16S ribosomal RNA". It matches the Rfam family "Bacterial small subunit ribosomal RNA", at positions 355 to 776 of the family's 1533-position model. The record is from RNAcentral. Lineage: Bacteria; Bacillati; Chloroflexota.